UUAAAUUCGUUGACGAGAUCGAGUAAGCUGUGGGUACUGUUCUACAGAGAGCUGAUACUUGCUGAAAAUCAGUGUUCAGUCCAUAGCUGAAAAUCCUCUCCGAGAAGAUAUGCUGAACAAUAGGAGUAAGCAUGUCCGGAUUUCCUCCGUUAUUUUGGAACACGUAUGAAUUCGUACGUUGCAGAGUGCCGCGGUUUGUUUGCUAUACGCGGAAUCAGGGUGGUAACACGGGAAACUAAUCUCGUCCCUUUU
Molecule: non-coding RNA, 252 nt
Filed under: Pseudobacillus badius
Lineage: Bacteria; Bacillati; Bacillota; Bacilli; Caryophanales; Bacillaceae
Description: Bacillus badius T-box sequence
Rfam family: T-box leader
About the family: Uncharged tRNA acts as the effector for transcription antitermination of genes in the T-box leader family. T-boxes are found upstream of many aminoacyl-tRNA synthetase genes and some amino acid biosynthetic genes usually in Gram-positive bacteria.
Source: RNAcentral